This 225-nucleotide unclassified non-coding RNA is filed under the name uncultured fungus. RNAcentral's name for it is "partial contains small subunit ribosomal RNA, internal transcribed spacer 1, and 5.8S ribosomal RNA". The stretch from base 1 to 73 matches the Rfam family "Eukaryotic small subunit ribosomal RNA", at positions 1759 to 1831 of the family's 1831-position model. Lineage: Eukaryota; Fungi. The record is from RNAcentral.
GCAAACUUGGUCAUUUAGAGGAAGUAAAAGUCGUAACAAGGUUUCCGUAGGUGAACCUGCGGAAGGAUCAUUAAAAGAUUCUAACUGUAGUUUUUAAACCUGUAAAAAGGUUUAAAAACGAAAUUUAUUUUUUUUAAACCUGUCCAAAAAUAUUUAAAUUUUCGAAUGAAAAUUAAAACUUUCAACAACGGAUCUCUUGGUUCUCGCAUCGAUGAAGAACGCAGC